Molecule: non-coding RNA, 2826 nt
Organism: Dermacentor andersoni
Lineage: Eukaryota; Metazoa; Arthropoda; Arachnida; Ixodida; Ixodidae
Source: RefSeq, a predicted model, not a curated record
AAUUUGGCUUUAAGAAGCGACCGCCGAGAAUCCCGCCCGUCAUUCUACGUUUCACGCCGCCGCCGCCCGUGUCGGCUGUGCCUCCGCAUCCUGCAAUACAUGCUCUGGCAGCGACGUUAGGCGCGGUGUCUACCACUUCACCAACCACGGAACCAUAUAGAUUCCGACAGCCAUGGGUUCCGCCGCUGGCUCCUGAUGUAAGGUGUGCUUCGAAGCUUUUAAGUCGCGGCUGCUCUACUUAUGGCCUGGACUUCUGCAAGUGUUGUUGCGGGACUCUUUUGCUCCGGAAUUCUCGCACGGCCCAUUGGAGCUCCCGGAAUACGUAUGCGACGCGCGGCGGCCAUUCCAUCCGUUCUCACGCACGAGCUGUCUCGUCUGACGCUAACGACGUCUCGAGCCGUUGCUGCCGAUAAGUUUCAAGUCGCGCCUGCCGCGGUCUUUUCUUUUGUGCGCGUUUCCGCGAACUGACCGUGCCAUUUAACCGAGGGACAACGAAGAAACUGUCGUCGCCACGUGUCUCAACUACCUUACAAGGUGAAGCUCGUGCAACGAAGUGACCGUGGCACUACUUUGAAGGACAACGCAGCAACUGUCGUCGCUACGUAGCUUCGGCAGCUAACUCACGAGAGCGGCACUGAAGAACGGACGUUGCCUUCGGUCCGCAGCGCGGCGCGUUGCGGCUAAAGUAGGUGUCACUUUUUCUAUUUGUGCCACGCUGUUUUCGUCGCUCGACACACGGAACAUUUUUGUCGAGUUCAUCGACCACGGGUCGCGCGACGACGCUUGUAAUGGUGAGCACCUACUUUCUGGUUAUAUUCCUUCCUUGAAAAGUUGCCCCUUUUUAGUUCCGGGUACGCAGCCCAGGCCUUCGCGUCUGGCGCACUCCAGCAACGUCCCCUGUGCCCUGCCGUGUCCCAGGCGGAUGACGUUCAGCGCAUGUCGUUCCGGGGCUCACCACCUGUGCCUCAGCUCCAGCCUCGCAGCCACUGGCUUCUAGCUGCAGCAGAAACCUGCACUGCCCGCCCUGCAGUACGUCGACUGCGAUUUCCUCUGCCCUGCCGUGUCCCAGGCGGAUGUCGUUCAGCGCAUGUCGUUCCGCGGCUCACCACCUGUGCACUCAGCUCCAGCCUCGCAGCCACUGGCUUCUAGCUGCAGCAGAAACCUGCACUGCCCGCCCUGCAGUAAGUCGACUGCGAUUUCCCACAACGGAGUUUCCUCUGCCGUGUCCCAGGCGAAUGUCGUUCAGCGCAUGUCGUUCCGGGGCUCACCACCUGUGCACUCAGCUCCAGCCUCGCAGCCACUGGCUUCUGGCUGCCGCAGAAACCUGCACUGCCCGCCCUGCAGUACGUCGACUUCGAUUUCCCACAACAGUCUCCUCUGCCCUGCCGUGUCCCAGGCGAAUGUCGUUCAGCGCAUGUCGUUCCGCGAUUCGCCGCCUGUGCACUCAGCUCCAGCUUCACAGCUACGCCAGUGGCUUCCUGCCAAAUUAAGAAACCUGUACUACCGGCCCUGCAGUAUGUCGACUGCGCUCUGCAACCCUCCUCUUGACAUCCGCUGCCAGUCAAGAUCUGUCUCCCCUGCCUAGUAGGCGAUGACGCCUAAUGCUGGCCGCAGUACGGCAGGCCUUGCUCUUGCGACUGUUCAACACCCUGCUACACCCAACGAUGUUGAGCUGCAGGAAUAAUACCUCUCUGCGUGCUCCGUGCUGCCUCGAGGACGGUGCACAACUACGGAGUGAUGAUGCGAACACCGACCUCGACAUCCUUGCAAAACAGCUUCCCGCCCUGUAUACUAUACUAUAGCUGCAUCAUGGCCGCUCAUUGAAGACUCAUAUUGAGAGCACGUGGCUGUUUGAUGACCUGAUCAAACAAUUAUAGAUAUCGCGCUGGCUCAUCUGUGGUACACUGCUCAGGGUCUAGCAUUCGGUUUGUCUGCGGGAUUCUUGCUCGUGCACGUUAACAUUCUGUGCUCUCGUAAUGGUACGCUGAUGCUGGUUUGCGUUGCGAAGUAGCACGCGCAUGUGUUCGUAUGAGCAUGCGAGUGUGUUGCUGCAUGUAUGUUCUCUAUUGUACGCGCGUGCUACUUCGCUUAUUUUAUCUGGUGGUUGUCAUUAUUUUAGCUCGGGUGUGUCCUCACUUCCAUGCAAUUUUUGGUGGCUUGUUUCGUUCAAUCGGUGAAUUCCUUCAUAAAGGUCAUUGAUGAUUUCGUAGUGAUGGUGGCCAAUCUUCUCGGAAACCCAUCCAACUUCGGCACUGGGCAUUCCCCUUACUUGAUGUCCAGUCGUCCACUCGUAGAUUUGUCCAUGGCCUUGUCAUAUUGUUUUCUACUCGACGGGGUCUGUUGGUACAUUUUCCUUAUCCACUUCUUUCUCAAUUGAUCAGUUCAUCAUGGCUAAUGCGAUACAUCAGCGUACCAUUACAAAAAGCGCAUGGUGUGAAUUAAAGGCAAUAGAGCAUCUACGUUCGAUUGUGAGGAUCACAAUUAUGUGAGCUUAUCCUUUAUCUGGUACUGGCAUGGUACCAAGCUCAUUUUUCAAACUUGUCCGCUUUCAUUAAUCACGUGAGCGGUAAAGCUGCGUACAACUCCACAGCAAAGCAAAGCAGCUCCUGAAUCUCCCUUCAGCAACAUUGAACAUUGAUCACAUACCACCACCACAGAUGCCUGCGGUGUUAAGACUUCAUCAAACUGCUUCAUCACCUUUUGUCCUUGAAUGUUCGCUGCCCUGUGUAAAUUUACCUACUUGCAUUGUUGUCCAUCACUAUAACAUGUAUUUGCUGAACCAUGUUCACUGCAACUCAAUAAAAUGGCAAAGGCUUUUUGUUUUUA